GAUGAAGAACGCAGCGAAAUGCGAUAAGUAGUGUGAAUUGCAGAAUUCAGUGAAUCAUCGAAUCUUUGAACGCACAUUGCGCCCCUUGGUAUUCCAUGGGGCAUGCCUGUUUGAGCGUCAUUUGUACCUUCAAGCUCUGCUUGGUGUUGGGUGUUUGUCCUUGCUCUAGUGGCGGGACUCGCCUUAAAGUAAUUGGCAGCCAGUGUUUUGGUUUUGAAGCGCAGCACAAGUCGCGAUUCAAGUCUAUACGCUAGUUUCCACAAGUCUUUUAUCACUUUUGACCUCGGAUCAGGUAGGGAUACCCGCUGAACUUAAGCAUAUCAAUAAGCGGAGGA
RNAcentral lists this unclassified non-coding RNA (335 nucleotides) under soil metagenome. RNAcentral describes it as "partial contains 5.8S ribosomal RNA, internal transcribed spacer 2, and large subunit ribosomal RNA". The stretch from base 1 to 120 matches the Rfam family "5.8S ribosomal RNA", at positions 35 to 154 of the family's 154-position model. The record is from RNAcentral.